RNAcentral lists this ribosomal RNA (466 nucleotides) under uncultured bacterium. RNAcentral's name for it is "partial 16S ribosomal RNA". It matches the Rfam family "Bacterial small subunit ribosomal RNA", at positions 28 to 507 of the family's 1533-position model. The record is from RNAcentral.
GACAAACGCUGGCGGCGUGCUUAACACAUGCAAGUCGAACGGAAAGGCCCUGCUUGCAGGGUACUCGAGUGGCGAGCGGGUGAGUAACACGUGGGUGAUCUGCCCUGCACUUCGGGAUAAGCUUGGGAAACUGGGUCUAAUACCGGAUAGGAACCAUCUUUAGUGUGGUGGUUGGAAAGUUUUUUCGGUGUAGGAUGAGCUCGCGGCCUAUCAGCUUGUUGGUGGGGUAAUGGCCUACCAAGGCGGCGACGGGUAGCCGGCCUGAGAGGGUGUACGGCCACAUUGGGACUGGGAUACGGCCCAGACUCCUACGGGAGGCAGCAGUGGGGAAUAUUGCACAAUGGGCGCAAGCCUGAUGCAGCGACGCCGCGUGGGGGAUGAAGGCCUUCGGGUUGUAAACUCCUUUCGCUAGGGACGAAGCUUUGUUGUGACGGUACCUAGAUAAGAAGCACCGGCUAACUACGUG